UCAGUAUAAAAAUACACACUCCGAGCAAGUGCGCCUAGUAACAAAAAGUUACCAGUCACUGGAACGGGGCGAGUGCACGCCAAUCGAAUUCGCUAUCAGUCGUACGCUCUACACUCAAUCGUACGCUCUACACUCAAUUGUACGUUCGCACGACUGUACGCUAGCGUCAUCAGUCGGCUGUCUCGCCAAUUACAUAACUCAUACAACAUGAUAAUGAAGUUUUAAAACGGAGCCAAUUAUGAAUACUUCAGAAUUUUCACUGAUAGUAGAAAAUAACGUAAACAAUGACAAUAGAACGCUAAUGCCCUCCAAUUUGGAAAAUUACAAUAUUUGCAACAAAAUAAUAAAUAAUAAAAGUCGAGAUACAGAAAUUACUUCUUCAUGUAUAAAUUUAGAAAAAAAUAAAACUCAUUGUAAAGGAUGUAAACAGACAAUUUAAAACAAGCCUUAGUUAACAAUGAAACGAUAAUCAUUUCUAAUGAUGUAAUGAUAAAAUAUAAUUUACCUUCUGAUAAAAUUGAAUUACAUUUUUAUGAAUUGAUAAAUAUUCAAAAAAAUUCUGAAAUUUUUUUAACUAAAUUAAAACAGAUGAUAUUAAAUGUAAUAAUUUUAAUAGAAUGAAAGUUAGAAAAGCAUAACGUGUUUUUUCUAAUGACUUGAGUAGCUCUUUUCAGUUAUUAGCAGAUGAAAAUGAUAAGCCUGAGUAUGUCACUACUGCCUGGUUUGUUAGAAUUGUAUCUAAAUGGUUUUCUCGUGUAACAUCCAGACAUUGCAAAUUAGCUCUUGGCACAAAAAAUGAAAAUGUUUAUAAUAAAAAUAUUAAUUUUUUAAAUGAAAUUAUUGAUAUUUUUGCAAAAUUAAAAACAGGCAAGGGAGAUUUCAAACCGGUACAAAGAGUCGGUUCAUUCAGGAUUGUGUGAACGUCUCGGUUCAUUCAGGAUUGUGUAGAAAACCUCUUUUCACAAAUUCGCCAAAAAAAUAUACCAAAUCCGUUACAAUUUACGAAUGAUUUAAAAUUAAUCUCUAUCGUAAUGUAUAUGAAACUAUAUAAUAAAUAAUAGUAAUUAUGAAAAUAAUGAUCAAGAAUAUCUUUCAGGAUUUAUUGAAUAUUCAUCAGGAAAACAAGACAAUGAACAUGUGGUGGAAUCGAAUAAUAAUAACACUGUAGUUGAUAUUGAUACAAUUUUACCUUAUAAAAGAAUACAAUAAAAAAUUUCACAAGCGUUGAGUUAAAUUCACUGUAUAACAUUGCUGAAUAUAUUAUAAGAUCAAUUAUAAAAAUAUGUAAAACAUGCAUUGAUUGUAUAAACUCUGUAAAAUCAGAAUCUUUAUUACAAUAUUCUUUUACGAAAUAUGUUCAAUUUGAAUGUUACAAUAAGAGUUCAUUAUUUUUUGUAAACAUUAAGACAUUCAAAGCAUUUAUAAUAUUAGAAAAGAUGUUCCGACAUUAUUGUAAAUAUUUUGAUAAUAACAAUAUUGAUUAGAAGAAUUUUUUAAUUAAUAAAUUUAGUCAGGUUUUCGCAGAUCAUGUAUUAAAUUGUCAUCAAUUAGUUUUUAAAAUAAUUAAAAGAUUUAUAUUAUUCAGAUUGAGGAUAAUGAACAAAAAAAUGUUGAUAAUAAUUGUAAGCGUUACGAUAGUAAAUCUAUAGCUGUACACACAUCUUUUAAAUAAAUUUUGCAAAUUUGAAA
Molecule: long non-coding RNA, 1689 nt
Organism: Solenopsis invicta (red fire ant)
Lineage: Eukaryota; Metazoa; Arthropoda; Insecta; Hymenoptera; Formicidae
Exons: 4
Source: RefSeq, a predicted model, not a curated record